CUUCAUAGUUCUGUCACAGCUAGAAGCCUCAAAUAAUUCUGCUUCUCUGGCUAAAGAACAACUUGUCCUUUACAUUCAGAGUGUUGGUAAAACUGGGUACUUAAAUGGCCCUAAAGAUGUUUCACUUUGCUGCCAUUGCAGCGAUGAACAUCAUACAUGGACUCUUAAGGAAAGAAUUUUCAGCAUACUGGGAACGCAAUUAUCAACAAUGCAACAUUCUACGGGUGCUAUUUUAUCAUUCAAGAGCCUUAUACAAUGAUUUUCGUCCACCACCUGACAGUGUGUUAAAUUUAAAUUCUGUUAGUGCUGCACUAAAAGAAUCGUUAGUAAUAAGUCCAUGCAGCGAAGGAAUUGAACAAUUGUGGGACCGUAUUUGGGCCGAAAAUGAAUGUGGUACGGAAACCGAGAUAUGGCACGAGUUCAACAUAAAACAUGGAUUAGAAUUUUAGCAGGGGAUCAAGUCAAGUCUGGAAGUGUUACAGGAUGGAAGAGUCAGCCUACAAUUGAAAAAACACAGAGUGCAUUACCAUUAAGCAAUCCUUUAUAGUUCUGUCACAGCUAGAAGCCUCAAAUAAUUCUGCUUCCCUUGCUAAAGAACAACUUGUUCUUUACGCCCAGAGUGUUGGUGAAGCUGGGUACUUAAAUGGCCCUAAAGAUGUUUCACUUCACUGGCAUUGCAGCGAUGAACAUCAUACAUGGACUCUUUAGGAAAGGAUUUUCAGCAUACUGGGAACACAACUAUCAACCAUGCAACAUUCUACGGGUGUUAUUUUAUCAUUCAAGAGCCUUAUACAAUGAUUUUCAUCUACAAUUUGUAUUGCCUUUCCCGAACUUCUGUCAGAAGUUGAAUCUAUAAGUCAUGUAAGUCACAUGAGCAACAAUUGAGAUGCUUAAUGGUGUUGUUUUUCUUUUCUCAGUGUAGGUUAAUAGUAACAUUGGAUCUGAAAAAAUUCUUGGUUGGGGCAUGACACUGUAUAAAUUGUAAUGAUUGGAUGGAUGACAUGAUAUUUCUAUACUUCAUUCGGAUUCCCGAGACGGUAUUUUAUAUUUAAAAAAUUGAAGUGCAUAUCUGGGCUCCCUUCCUUUCCGUAGCCCCGUUUCCCCUUGACUCGUAAUAAGCCCGUAGGGGGUCAUGCCCCUACUGUACGGUAUAUAUAAAAAUAACAUAUACCGAGGUUUGGAGGGCUCUGGCCGGAAAGGGGACGUGGGGGUCCGCUUAGUCCGAUGAUGUGUUCACGGAGGGCUCUGUGGCUACCCACAAAUCCGAACUAAAGGUUAAUCGCUCCUGUAAAAAUGUUCCAAAUCUUCAGCUCUUCUUCCGGCUUCUCUUAGCCAAUCACCGGGUAAUCUCCCCGGUGGGUCAACAAGGCAGUGUCUCCCCCUGCCUGGGUUGACGGCAACUUUUGAAAGGGC
Daphnia carinata is the source of this 1413-nucleotide long non-coding RNA. RefSeq lists it as uncharacterized. Lineage: Eukaryota; Metazoa; Arthropoda; Branchiopoda; Diplostraca; Daphniidae. The record is from RefSeq and is a predicted model, not a curated record. The transcript has 5 exons.